GUUGCCAGAUAUAAAUAUUCCGCGGUAGCUCAAUGGUGGAGCACUCGGCUGUUAACCGAUAGGUUGAAGGUUCGAAUCCUUUCCGCGGAGCCAUUUAAAUUUUAUAUUUUUAAAAAAUAUUCCGCGAUAGCUCAACGGUGGAGCACUCGGCUGUUAACCGAUAGGUUGAAGGUUCGAAUCCUUUUCGCGGAGCCAU
Molecule: transfer RNA, 196 nt
Filed under: Clostridium botulinum Bf
Lineage: Bacteria; Bacillati; Bacillota; Clostridia; Eubacteriales; Clostridiaceae
Description: tRNA-Ala
Rfam family: tRNA (bases 19-90)
Source: RNAcentral